Molecule: ribosomal RNA, 468 nt
Filed under: uncultured bacterium
Lineage: Bacteria
Description: partial 16S ribosomal RNA
Rfam family: Bacterial small subunit ribosomal RNA
Source: RNAcentral
GACGAACGCUGGCGGCGUGCUUAACACAUGCAAGUCGAACGGAAAGGCCCUGCUUUUGUGGGGUGCUCGAGUGGCGAACGGGUGAGUAACACGUGAGUAACCUGCCCUUGACUUUGGGAUAACGUCAGGAAACUGGGGCUAAUACCGGAUAGGAGCUCCUGCUGCAUGGUGGGGGUUGGAAAGUUUCGGCGGUUGGGGAUGGACUCGCGGCUUAUCAGCUUGUUGGUGGGGUAGUGGCUUACCAAGGCUUUGACGGGUAGCCGGCCUGAGAGGGUGACCGGCCACAUUGGGACUGAGAUACGGCCCAGACUCCUACGGGAGGCAGCAGUGGGGAAUAUUGAACAAUGGGCGGAAGCCGGAUGCAGCAACGCCGCGUGCGGGAUGACGGCCUUCGGGUUGUAACCCGCUUUCGCCUGUGACGAAGCGUGAGUGACGGUAAUGGGUAAAGAAGCACCGGCUAACUACGUG